UGUGCAACAUCACUACUGCUCCAGUCUCU
Molecule: non-coding RNA, 29 nt
Filed under: Rattus norvegicus (Norway rat)
Lineage: Eukaryota; Metazoa; Chordata; Mammalia; Rodentia; Muridae
Source: RNAcentral